UAGGGAUGCUUCUGAGUAUGGAUGGGCGU
RNAcentral lists this non-coding RNA (29 nucleotides) under Mus musculus (house mouse). The record is from RNAcentral. Lineage: Eukaryota; Metazoa; Chordata; Mammalia; Rodentia; Muridae.